RNAcentral lists this ribosomal RNA (646 nucleotides) under Bacillus pumilus. RNAcentral describes it as "bacterial SSU rRNA". It matches the Rfam family "Bacterial small subunit ribosomal RNA", at positions 549 to 1194 of the family's 1533-position model. The record is from RNAcentral. Lineage: Bacteria; Bacillati; Bacillota; Bacilli; Caryophanales; Bacillaceae.
AUUAUUGGGGCGUAAAGGGCUCGCAGGCGGUUUCUUAAGUCUGAUGUGAAAGCCCCCGGCUCAACCGGGGAGGGUCAUUGGAAACUGGGAAACUUGAGUGCAGAAGAGGAGAGUGGAAUUCCACGUGUAGCGGUGAAAUGCGUAGAGAUGUGGAGGAACACCAGUGGCGAAGGCGACUCUCUGGUCUGUAACUGACGCUGAGGAGCGAAAGCGUGGGGAGCGAACAGGAUUAGAUACCCUGGUAGUCCACGCCGUAAACGAUGAGUGCUAAGUGUUAGGGGGUUUCCGCCCCUUAGUGCUGCAGCUAACGCAUUAAGCACUCCGCCUGGGGAGUACGGUCGCAAGACUGAAACUCAAAGGAAUUGACGGGGGCCCGCACAAGCGGUGGAGCAUGUGGUUUAAUUCGAAGCAACGCGAAGAACCUUACCAGGUCUUGACAUCCUCUGACAACCCUAGAGAUAGGGCUUUCCCUUCGGGGACAGAGUGACAGGUGGUGCAUGGUUGUCGUCAGCUCGUGUCGUGAGAUGUUGGGUUAAGUCCCGCAACGAGCGCAACCCUUGAUCUUAGUUGCCAGCAUUUAGUUGGGCACUCUAAGGUGACUGCCGGUGACAAACCGGAGGAAAGGUGGGGAUGACGUCAAAUCAUC